Molecule: RNA transcript, 1712 nt
Organism: Aricia agestis (brown argus)
Lineage: Eukaryota; Metazoa; Arthropoda; Insecta; Lepidoptera; Lycaenidae
Exons: 4
Source: RefSeq, a predicted model, not a curated record
GCGCGUAUGCAGAAUAAUCCCAAGGAUAUACUCAAUUUACGCGAGGGAGGAUCCAAAGGAAUCAAGGAUACUAAAGAGGAUCAUCAGUUGUGUGCCGGCGCAAGCAUAGACUGAUAUUAUACAGAUACGUUGCAUUCGCGUGAGUACUCUGGUUCUUUCUUUGAUUUCCACUAUGAGCGUAGAGGGUACGAGUAAACGAGAUAAAUCUCCUUACAGGUGUAUAGAAAGCGAAAAAACCGAAACAUUACUUCGCGAAUUAAUCAAAAAACGUGGCGUUUUGAAGGCGAGACUUACAAAGUUCGCCAGUUAUUUAACUACUUGCGUUUCUGAAGCACCUACUAAUUUGCAUAUAGAUAUUAAGUUGCGCAUCCAAGGCGCAGUUGCACUUUUUAACGAAUUUAAUUCUGUGCAGAGCAAAAUUGAGGAAAAUGUGCCCGAAUCUUGUCUCGAAGAACAAUUAUUGCAGCGUGAACAAUUCGAGAAUAAUUAUUACAGUGCACAGGCUAGUGCCGAGUCCUUAUUAAAUGCUAGAACAUCUGCUACAAGCUCUCAGUGUCAAGGCCAACAUAAUAAUCCAUUACAAACUAUAAGAUUACCUACUAUCACUUUGCCCGAGUUCGAUGGUAUGUAUGAGAGUUGGCUCGAGUUUCGAGACACUUAUAUGUCAUUAGUUCAUAAUUCAUCAGAGCUUAGCAACAUUCAAAAAUUCCAUUAUCUCAGAUCUUCGUUGAGAAGUAGUGCAUUAUUAGUUAUAAACUCAUUAGAACUAACUUCCGAUAAUUACAUUGUUGCAUGGGAACUUUUACAAAGCAGGUAUAACAAUAAUAGAUUAUUAAUUCAAAAUCACAUCAAGUCUAUAUUUAAUAUGCAACCAAUAACCAAGGAAUCUCAUUUAUUAAUUAGGAAUUUAAUUGACAGCACAUUAAGGAAUUUACGAGCUCUUAAAAUAUUGGGCGAGCCCACGAAUUUCUGGGAUGCUCUUAUCAUAUUCAUUGUUGUUUCAAAACUUGAUAAAAUAACCGAGCGUGAAUGGGAACAGCACAAAGUUCAGUAAACUCGGUAUCGCAUAAUGAAGCUUCAACUUCUGCGGAGCUGGACACGCCCUCCGUGCCCGCUCAAACUGCAGAACACUCAUCCAGAAUAUUGAGCUGGCGGAUCCCAACUUUCUGGAGUCACAAGAUAUAGAUAUUUUGCUUGGCGCAGAGAUGUUCUGGGAUCUACUCACUCACGGAAAAAUAAGGCUACCUAAUGGACCUUAUUUGCAUAAUACUUUAUUCGGCUGGAUAAUAUCCGGUGCAAUAUAUCAUAAAUCACUAAAUGAUAAUGCUGGUCAUAUCCAGUGUAAUUAUACACAAACGAUGGAUGCGCUAUUACGACAAUUUUGGGAACUUGAGGAGCUACCCAAGCGUCAGGAUGCGCAGACUGAUGAGGAUCAGAUAUGCGAAAAUCACUUCCUCACUACAACUACGCGAAACAGUGAUGGCAGCAUCGCUUCGUGGCAUGCGCCGACGUUGCGAAGAUGUAUAGGCAAGUCCUGGUGCGCGAGCAACAGCGCCACCUGCAGUUAAUUCUCUGGCGAGACACUCCAUCGGAGCCUCUAGGGAUAUAUCGUCUAAAUACAGUCACUUACGGUACCGCAUCUGCUCCCUUUCUUAGUGUACGCUGUAUAAAGCAGUUAGGCGUCGAAUCUAAUAAUCUUGACGUUCAGAGAA